CUUGCUUCUCUUGAGAGCGGCGGACGGGUGAGUAAUGCCUAGGAAUCUGCCUGGUAGUGGGGGAUAACGUUCGGAAACGGACGCUAAUACCGCAUACGUCCUACGGGAGAAAGCAGGGGACCUUCGGGCCUUGCGCUAUCAGAUGAGCCUAGGUCGGAUUAGCUAGUUGGUGGGGUAAUGGCUCACCAAGGCUACGAUCCGUAACUGGUCUGAGAGGAUGAUCAGUCACACUGGAACUGAGACACGGUCCAGACUCCUACGGGAGGCAGCAGUGGGGAAUAUUGGACAAUGGGCGAAAGCCUGAUCCAGCCAUGCCGCGUGUGUGAAGAAGGUCUUCGGAUUGUAAAGCACUUUAAGUUGGGAGGAAGGGUUGUAGAUUAAUACUCUGCAAUUUUGACGUUACCGACAGAAUAAGCACCGGCUAACUCUGUGCCAGCAGCCGCGGUAAUACAGAGGGUGCAAGCGUUAAUAGGAAUUACUGGGCGUAAAGCGCGCGUAGGUGGUUUGUUAAGUUGGAUGUGAAAUCCCCGGGCUCAACCUGGGAACUGCAUUCAAAACUGACUGACUAGAGUAUGGUAGAGGGUGGUGGAA
Molecule: ribosomal RNA, 591 nt
Filed under: uncultured bacterium
Lineage: Bacteria
Description: bacterial SSU rRNA
Rfam family: Bacterial small subunit ribosomal RNA
Source: RNAcentral